GGUGAGGGCGAGCCAGAGCGACCGCGAGGCUGUGAGAAAGUGGGCGAGUGUGCGAGGGCGCCCGGCCUGGCUGUAGGAGCCGCGGUGGCGGAGGAGGAAGGAGGCGGCUCCCGGCAUCCCGACCCCCUCCCCCUUCUCCGCGGACCGACAGCCCGCCCCGCAGCCCGCGCUUCCCCCGGAGGCCCCAGCUGGGCUCCGCUGGCCGAGAGCUAGGGAGCAGCCACCCGAGCCAGAAAGAGUUUACAUUCAGGAGGAAAUAAUCCAGGAAAAGGAAUAACAGACAGUCAAGAUGUGUAGCUCUGUGGCUGCCAAGUUGUGGUUUUUGACAGAUCGUCGAAUCAGGGAAGAUUAUCCCCAGAAAGAGAUCUUACGAGCAUUGAAGGCCAAAUGUUGUGAGGAAGAACUGGAUUUUAGGGCUGUGGUGAUGGAUGAGGUGGUGCUGACAAUCGAGCAAGGAAACCUGGGUCUUCGGAUCAAUGGAGAACUAAUUACUGCCUACCCCCAGGUGGUGGUAGUGAGAGUACCAACCCCUUGGGUGCAGAGCGAUAGUGACAUCACUGUUUUGCGCCAUCUAGAGAAGAUGGGAUGCCGGUUGAUGAACCGACCUCAAGCCAUCCUGAACUGUGUUAAUAAGUUCUGGACAUUUCAAGAGUUGGCUGGCCAUGGUGUUCCUCUGCCAGAUACUUUUUCUUAUGGCGGUCAUGAAAAUUUUUCUAAAAUGAUUGAUGAAGCAGAAGUACUGGAGUUCCCAAUGGUAGUGAAGAAUACACGGGGUCAUAGAGGCAAAGCUGUUUUCUUGGCUCGAGACAAGCACCAUUUGGCUGAUCUAAGCCAUCUUAUUCGUCAUGAAGCCCCAUACCUGUUUCAGAAGUAUGUUAAAGAGUCUCAUGGACGGGAUGUACGUGUCAUUGUUGUAGGAGGCCGUGUGGUUGGCACCAUGUUACGUUGUUCAACAGAUGGGAGGAUGCAAAGCAACUGCUCAUUAGGUGGUGUGGGGAUGAUGUGCUCAUUAAGUGAACAGGGGAAGCAGCUAGCUAUCCAGGUGUCUAAUAUCCUGGGGAUGGAUGUGUGUGGCAUUGACCUGUUGAUGAAAGAUGACGGCUCCUUCUGUGUCUGCGAGGCCAAUGCAAAUGUAGGUUUCAUCGCCUUUGAUAAGGCUUGUAAUCUAGAUGUAGCUGGUAUCAUAGCGGACUAUGCCGCCUCCCUUCUGCCCUCUGGCCGGCUCACCCGGCGUAUGUCCCUGCUCUCUGUGGUGUCCACGGCCAGUGAGACUAGUGAGCCGGAGCUGGGUCCCCCAGCCAGCACUGCUGUCGACAACAUGAGCGCAAGUUCCAGCUCUGUUGACAGCGACCCUGAAAGCACCGAGCGAGAACUGCUCACCAAGCUCCCAGGGGGCCUAUUCAACAUGAACCAGCUGCUAGCCAAUGAAAUCGAACUCCUGGUGGAGUGACUCCACUGGUAAAUAAUUAACCAACAAAACCCUUGUAAAACUUUCUUUUUCUUUUUUUUCCCUUUCUUUCUUACUUUAUAUUAUUAUUUUUAACCAACUUGCAAUGCUGUUCAUGGAAGAUGCUCAGGAAGAUGAGAGAAAAUUGAGUAGUUAGGAGAGAAGAUAAACUUCUGCAAUUAAGAUGUUACAGACUCUCAUUUACAAAUUUUAUAGAUAGAGAGGCAGAAGAGGUGAGAUACAGAAAAAUGUCUCAGGCUUUCAUAGUUAACCUUUUACUCAAAAAUAUGUAUGUUCUCAGACCAUGAAAAACAUAAUACUUUUUUUUCAUGGUCCCUUUUGUUUUUGUACGGUUGGUACAAAUUUCAGAGUAGCAUAACUUCACAUUGUGUUUCAAAGAUUUGUGAUGGGUAAGGAAAACAUCUACUUAAAUUACAGAAAUUUUUUUAUACAAAUCUGAAAAUUCUGCCUUUACCAUAUUAACUAGCAGGUUUUUGUUCAUAGUUUAUGAAGUCUUGAGGGGCUCUUACUGGGAUUUAUUAUUUUUGUUUUUUCCCUUUAUUUGGGUGGGAGGGCAACAUGAAUAUGACCCAAUAAAGAUGUUUUUAAUGACAAAAUUGGCAUGUUUGCAUGAUAAAAGGGAAAUGAACAGUAUUGCAAUGUCUGGUACACAAAAUAACAUUUACUCUAAUGUAGAUAAAAUUACACUAGUUUAAAAUAUUUGCAUUGACUUGUAUUUGUUAGUGUUUUAGUCUUUUUUGAAAGAUAUAUGCUCUGUUAAUGUUGCAUUUAAAAAAAAAAAAAAUGCAAGUCUAACAUUUCCUGAUCUAUGCCUGCAUCUUUAACAAUGGCCAAAGUGAAGAAAAUGCUACCUUUUUUUUUUUUGUUAACAAGACACUGACUUGAAAUGUACAUUUAAAGCCUUUUAUUUUAUUUUUUUCUUUUGGUGGUUGGACAUAUAAAGAAUAAGGUUAAGGAAACAUUUUUUGGGGGCAAAUCAAGGGCCUAUAAAUUCUUAAGUAUAAAGCUGAAAUGAUUUCUAAUCUCAGCAUUAUAUGUUUGCAUUUUUCACAUUUUAGGAGGGAGUAUAUAUGUGUGUGUGUGCACGAAUGCAUGUGUAUGUGUUUUGCUUUUUGUUUACACCAACCAAUCAAAAAUGAUAGAUUCUAGAAAAUGGAGCAUGAUAGGAAACACAUUUUUUUACUUUAAAAAGGAGAUGAGUUGUUUUCAUAACUACUCCACUGGGGUAGAGGUACUCACCUGAAGACAUAAGGAGAAUAGAUGCUUCUUAGGCCUUUUUGUGUAUACGUUGUUUGGUUUGGUUUUUUUUUUGUUUGUUUGUUUGUUUGGUUUUUUUGGUUUGGUUUUGUUUUAUUUCUAGCUAGACUGUUCAGUGUACGAUUCAUUCAAGGCUACGUGCUUUUCAAUGCUUCUGGCUGUGUGUUUUCUCCUAUGACACAUAGGUUUUGGGGUGGGGUGGACUGGAUAUUUUUGUUUGGGGACUUACUUAGCAGUAUUGAGUCUCUUAUAGCCCUACUCUGAAGCCUUCAGUACUCUCCACUCUUUCUAUUCCUUUACUUUUUGAAUUUAUAAAAGCCCCCAAACUACAUAUAAUAUGAGCCUUUAAAACAUGGGUAAAACUAUCCCACUGAUGGUUUGGAAGAUGUGUUAAGAAAUGGUGAUGCUCCAGAGCUCAACAUAAUUUUUUUAAACAGCAAGUUCCAUCUCCUUAACAAUCCUCUGAAGCUUUUACCCAAGUCCUUUCUUGCCUCUCCAGUGCUUUUUUCCUUCAGAUGGACCUUAAACUUAAUUUCUUGGACACUACUAGAGAGACUUCGAGGCAAUAAUAAAAGAUCAGUAUUAACCAGCUCUAACAGAGGUUUGAUCAUGCUUACUUGUACAGUUUUCCCCCCAUUUUAAAAAGGAAUGUAAUAAAAUUUGUUUUUUUCUAUAGAAUGAAAUAAUAUUAAAAUUGAGUGAAAGGUUGAUUGUUGACAAAUAGAAUAGUACCUCUAAUCUGUGCAGUGUUUCAUUUCACCUCAGAAAAAGGAUACACGAGGAGUUUCUAAUUUAUUUUAGGAUAUUUUAAUCUCAUCUAAAAUAAUUUGACUUGCACAUGGUUAUUGUGGGACUUACAUGAGUACCUCUGACUCAACAGAAAGAAAUAACUUGGUAAUUCUUUCACUGAAUGACCAUACUUUGGAGGAUGUAUACUAUUUGGGAUAGGGAAAUAAAUGAGGGAAAAAAGAACUACUUAAUUAAAUCAUCAUUCAUAUGUUUGUGUAGAGACCAUCUGGUUGCCACCUAAUUAUGUUACAUAUACCUUGAAUAGUUACAUAUCACAUGUAUAUAGAUUAGUUUUUAAAACACAGAUAGAAGAGCCUGUCUAUUUGAUGAAGAACUCAAGGUUUGUGUUGGGAGGGAUAAGGCACCAGGAAAAAUGUAGGUAGCCUUUACAAAGUUUUACCAAAUUAACCAACUGUAUUAUAAAAAUACUAGAUUAUUUCACCUUUAGUUUUAUUCACUAUUCAUCUUUUGUACAUUCACACAAUAUUAAAACUUAGCUUUACCAACCUAUUUCUGGAUUUGUAUACUCACAUGUUAGAAUGAAAAGGGAAAGAAUGGUCAUCAUGAAUAUCUUCAUGAAUUCCUUCAAAAAAUAAGGUAAAGAAUAUGAACAAAUCAUUCUGGAAGAAUCCAGAUAUAACAGCUUAGAUAUUUAAGUGAAAGUUAAAUAUAUUUUCAUAUUGUUUAAUAACUUUUGUUUAAUCUUUAUUGCUAUUAUGAGAUAAAAAUGUAUUUAUCAACUAUGUAUAAUCAUGCCAAAAUCUGAAUUACUGUAAAAUUAUUGUGCAUUGUUAAAAUUGUAAUUUUGAAUUGUAUUUUAAAAGUAAUUCUUUCUGAUAUUGUUUUUUGUCACCUAUGAUGAAAACUGGACUAUCUUUAUACAUACACACACUCACACAUAUAUAAAUACGAACUAUUCCAUUUAAAAUUUUUAAUAAUUUUUUUCCUUUUUUGGUGCCUAUAAUUGAUCGGUCAUUUCUGCUGGCUUUUACUCCACUGAACUUUAAAAAUCUUUCUGUAUAUGCUAUUAAUAAGAAAAUACCAUGGAACAUUAUAAAAAUCAUCAAGAGACUUGCUUUCAUCAUGCACUUUAGCAGACUUUUGAGAAGUUAUCGAAGGCAUUGAAAGAAGUAAUUGACUUUCAAAAUCAUCUUUUUCUCAAGAAGAAGCCAAUGGAAAAACAAAUUUUCUUCAUUCAGUGAAUCCCCAGUUUGGGGUCUGGGGAGCCUAGAGACAUUGUGAAAUCAAAUCUUGUGUUAUUUUCUCCUGGCUCACUCUUUUUGAGAAGGUUAAUGGGCUAUAUGGCUGGUGAGACACGAUCCCCUCCUAAGAAAAUGUAGGUGCUCAGACAGGUAACCUCUGCUGCUACUGUUUUUAUUUGUUUGUUUGUUUGUUUAAUUUCAUUUAAAAUUUGUUUUUAUUGUACUAGGAUAUUUUUAAAUGUAAUAUAUUGUAGGAUUUAUAACCAGGUUUAUUGCUUUCUUUUUUUUCUUUAAAAAACAAAACAAAGUUUCAUUUAAGAUACAUUUAGGCGCCUUUGAAGCUUCGAUUUUGGAAUGUUUCAGUAGUGGACAGAAAUCUGCUGUUGGAAUCUUCUAGUCUUCCAGGUUUAAUUUGAAGUUUUUAGUUUUGUUUUGAAUUUUUGUGUGGUAUUUUAUUUCCUUUAUAACAGUGCCCUUUUGCCAUGAUGUUUUGGGGUGGUUCCUAACUCUAGUGAAAAUUCUUUUUAUCUUAAUGAAAGUUUGGUGUUUUGAAUUCCUUAAUGUUUUGCAUUUUUACAAUUGUUUUUAAAGAAAUAUUCUAACUGCUUGCACUAUUACUGUUCUUUGCCAGCCUUUUCAGGAGCCAAAAAAACAAAAACAAACAAACAAAAAAUACCCAGAGAAAAAACUUUCCUUCUUCCCCCUUCCUGAUGAUGAGUGAGAAGUAUUGAGAACUUUCGGGGUCAGUGCCCUUCUAAACUCCCCUUCCCCCAAUAAUGCAGCUGUAUAAUGAGUGGUAAAUGCAGCGGUUUGGAUUCAGGCACAGCCCAGCCUGCUUGCAGGUAAUUUGACUCUUUCUCCUUUCUUUCCAUCACAAGGCUAACUUUAUUUUCCUUUUUAAAAAAUUUAUUUAUGUACUUUAACGGCAACCAUGGGUUUGUAAUAAGUUUCAUUUAAAAAGAAUAAUGUAAAACUCUAUCUAGAAAAUGUGAUUAAAGAACUUUUGGGGUGAAGUUUGAAUUGGUUGGGAUGAUCUCAAGACUUUCAUUGGGGAUGUGCUUUAACCAUGUAGAUAACUCCAUUCCUUGCAUAUAUGUCUAUAAUUAUUUCAGAGUGUGACUUUUUGGCUUUGUUUUUGUUUUGGGUUUGCUUGUUUCUUCCAUUGUGCUAUUCUGGCUUAAGCUUUUUCAGGGGUUGGUGUUCCGAAUACACAGUGAGCUCACAGUAUAAAGACAUCAAUUAGGAGUUGACAGGUAUGGAAAACUAGAGUUUUGAAAAGGUAAAAUUAGGUUCUAGGUUAUAUAUAUGGUAAAAACUCACCAUAGUAUUCAGUUGACUUUAGUGCUUCUCUUUCUGUGACAUCAUUAUAAAAGUGAAAGGGAAUGAUAAGACAAAGAUAGCAGAAAGCAUUUUGGUUAUGGUAGGAGCAACGUGAUUUCAGAACUAAUUUUAGCAUUUCUCAGAUACUAGUUCUAACAGGGAUAGAUGUGAAUAGUUUGAGAUUAUCAUAAAAUAAUGGUUUAAAUAUAAAAAUUACAAGUUUGAACAGAUUGGAGGGCAUUUCUGAAGCACACAAUUGUUAAAUAGAUUAACAGAGACCGUAAAACAAAGUUAGUGGCAGGAAUAGGAAUACAACUUGUCCUUUUUAAUAGCCUUCCUAUUUGUUCAUAUACCACCCCCUUCCUCUGUAGACCCAGUCCAAUUACCCUUUCUGCCUUUUUCCUGUUCUAAAAUUUUAGCUCUGAUAGGAGUUAUUAUCAUUAUGGGAAAUAAUCCUUUUUCUGAUAGGUAGAAUUUUAGUGACAGUAGUCAGACCGUUUCAAGAUACACUUCUGCAUAAUUUUAUCUUGUGCCUUUCGAUGUUCUCGCCAAAGAGGCUAUAAGUCCAGUAAAUCACUAGUGAGUAGGCAGUCUGGCUUCUAAUGUUAUUUCUACACUUAAAGGCAUAAAAUAAAUCAUUAAACUGUUUUGUGCUUUAUUUUACUCAUGUAAGAUAGGGACAGAUAGUUUCUUAACCAUUUUAAGAUAAAAAUACUCAUCCGUUGAACUGAACUUUACUAACAAAGGAAUCCCAACUACACUCCUGCAGGAAUUUGUGAUGUAUACUAAAAAAGGCUUAUACAAGAGAACCUUGUUCUCUUGCUGAUAAGAAUAGCCAGCAUUAGAAUGUGUGGACUAUGUGAUUACAUGGGACAUAGAGAAUUUAACAACGUCCAUUUGGCUGUUCCCAUGAAGAUCACUAACUUGAUAAGAAUGAUCUUGCUUUCACAUUUUAUCAUAUUCACUUAUUAGAUGGGCCUUAUGUAGCAUAUAUACCUGGCUGCUGUUGUGGGGUUCGGGAACAUGAGGGGUGGGGUGAAUUGUUGUUGUUUUAGGUUUCAGUCAGACAGACAUCCCUGUGCCCCAGUUCCCAGAAGCACAGCAGGCCUCUAGGAGCAUCCGUGGGAACGGCGCAGUCCUGACAUCACCAACUCUCCUGCUCAGGCUCAUCCCAUAUACAGAGCAGAGAAAUUGGUAGGUGGCAGCAGAAGAAGGAAUUCUUCAGAUUGAUGGCUAUUGACAAAAUCCACAUAGAAGAGAGAGAGCAUGACAUACCAAGUGAGGUAAAGGCAGCAAAAAGUGGAAACAGCAUUAAGAUUCCUAGAUUUGACUCUAAAUGAUUCUUUCAAAGGAGCCAAUGAUCCUUUUUGGUUAUUAUCUCAUUCACAGAAUGGUUGAAGAUACAUUGAUGGCAUUUUUCAAAUGGAGGAUAGAAAUGCACAGAAAAGGAAGCAAUAAUUCCAAUCCGUUUCAUUCAUUGUGUUUCCUAAAAUAAAAACAUCAGAACUGGAAAUGAAAUAAUAGCAUGGUGUAUGAUUUCUAUCCAUUCCAUCUUAUAGAAUUCUCUUCAGUCCAUAUAUCUAGACUUGAAGUCUAGCUCUGCAUGUGUCAUUCUCUUUAUUCUUUUCUUCAGUUUUUGCAAGAUGAAACCCCUUUGGUUCUUGACUAAUCUCUAUAAUAUAUUCUGAAACACUACUUUUGGUACAUAGACAUGUAUUAAAAUAUGUGUUACAUGGAUUUUGCCCUGCCUCUUUCAUCACAAUUUAUCUGUUCAUGCUGAAUAAUUGUUGCUAUGUUUUUUUUGUUUUGUUUUUGUUUUUGUUUUGAUAAGGCUCUGGCACACGCUUGUCACAACACUGCUUGCUACAUUUUAAUCUUGUAACAAGUGACCAUGUCUGACCUAGUCUAUUUUUUCCCUUCUCAAGUUUUUGGAUUUUUUUUAGUUAAUUGGGGUAACAUUGGUUAAUAAGAUUAUAUGAAUUUUGAGUGUACAAUUCUGUAAUACACUAGCUGUAUAUUGCAUUGUGUGCUCCCACCCAAAGUCAAGUUUCCUUCCAUCACCAUAUAUUUGACCCCCCGUUUCAACAGUAGGGGAUCAGAUACAUACCCCACCCCAAACCUUCAACAAAGAAUGGGCUUUGUAAUCAAAUAUUGACACAGAUUCUAAUUUCGAAAUGUACUGGUUAUACGAUCUUUGGACAAGUCACUUUUUUUCACGCCAUAGUGGGGGAAUAUUUGUAACAAAUGGAAAUAAUUGUACCUACUUUGUUAGAUUAAUGUAUAAGGACUAGCUGUGCUGUAAUACAGGUACAGUGCUGUAAACAUAGAGUAUUCAAUAAAUGCUACUUCUGUAAA
Molecule: RNA transcript, 8391 nt
Organism: Pteropus alecto (black flying fox)
Lineage: Eukaryota; Metazoa; Chordata; Mammalia; Chiroptera; Pteropodidae
Gene: RIMKLB
Gene name: ribosomal modification protein rimK like family member B
Exons: 8
Source: RefSeq, a predicted model, not a curated record